CAGACUAUAGCUAAGAUAGCAAAGCAUCUCCCUUACACCGAGAAGUCACCUGUGCAAAUCGGGUUAUUCUGA
This 72-nucleotide transfer RNA is filed under the name Aphyosemion kouamense. RNAcentral's name for it is "tRNA-Val". It matches the Rfam family "tRNA". From Rfam's summary of the family: Transfer RNA (tRNA) molecules are approximately 80 nucleotides in length. The record is from RNAcentral. Lineage: Eukaryota; Metazoa; Chordata; Actinopteri; Cyprinodontiformes; Nothobranchiidae.